RNAcentral lists this transfer RNA (75 nucleotides) under Candidatus Micrarchaeota archaeon RBG_16_49_10. Its description in RNAcentral is "tRNA-Pro". It matches the Rfam family "tRNA". Rfam says of the family: Transfer RNA (tRNA) molecules are approximately 80 nucleotides in length. Their secondary structure includes four short double-helical elements and three loops (D, anti-codon, and T loops). Further hydrogen bonds mediate the characteristic L-shaped molecular structure. tRNAs have two regions of fundamental functional importance: the anti-codon, which is responsible for specific mRNA codon recognition, and the 3' end, to which the tRNAs corresponding amino acid is attached (by aminoacyl-tRNA synthetases). tRNAs cope with the degeneracy of the genetic code in two manners: having more than one tRNA (with a specific anti-codon) for a particular amino acid; and 'wobble' base-pairing, i.e. permitting non-standard base-pairing at the 3rd anti-codon position. The record is from RNAcentral. Lineage: Archaea; Nanobdellati; Microcaldota.
GGGGAAAUAGUCUAGCUUGGUUUAGGAUCUAGGCUUCGGGAGCCUAUGACCCGGGUUCAAAUCCCGGUUUCCCCA